This 374-nucleotide ribosomal RNA is filed under the name uncultured organism. RNAcentral describes it as "partial 16S ribosomal RNA". It matches the Rfam family "Bacterial small subunit ribosomal RNA", at positions 527 to 896 of the family's 1533-position model. The record is from RNAcentral.
GUAGGUGGCAAGCGUUGUCCGGAAUUAUUGGGCGUAAAGCGCGCGCAGGCGGUUCUUUAAGUCUGAUGUGAAAGCCCACGGCUCAACCGUGGAGGGUCAUUGGAAACUGGAGAACUUGAGUACAGAAGAGGAAAGCGGAAUUCCACGUGUAGCGGUGAAAUGCGUAGAGAUGUGGAGGAACACCAGUGGCGAAGGCGGCUUUCUGGUCUGUAACUGACGCUGAGGCGCGAAAGCGUGGGGAGCAAACAGGGAUUAGAUACCCUGGUAGUCCACGCCGUAAACGAUGAGUGCUAAGUGGUAGGGGGGUUUCCGCCCCCUUAGUGCUGCAGCUAACGCAUUAAGCACUCCGCCUGGGGAGUACGGCCGCAAGGCUG